ACCUACGGGGGGCAGCAGUGGGGAAUAUUGCACAAUGGGGGAAACCCUGAUGCAGCAACGCCGCGUGAGUGAAGAAGUAUUUCGGUAUGUAAAGCUCUAUCAGCAGGGAAGAAGAAAGACGGUACCUGAGUAAGAAGCCCCGGCUAACUACGUGCCAGCAGCCGCGGUAAUACGUAGGGGGCAAGCGUUAUCCGGAUUUACUGGGUGUAAAGGGAGCGUAGACGGCGAUGCAAGCCAGAUGUGAAAGCCCGCGGCUCAACUGCGGUAG
Molecule: ribosomal RNA, 268 nt
Filed under: uncultured bacterium
Lineage: Bacteria
Description: partial 16S ribosomal RNA
Rfam family: Bacterial small subunit ribosomal RNA
Source: RNAcentral